GCGCCUGUAGCUCAAUUGGAUAGAGCGCCGGCCUCCGGAGCCGGAGGUUGGGGGUUCGAGCCCCUCCAGGCGCACCA
RNAcentral lists this transfer RNA (77 nucleotides) under Nitrospira sp. RNAcentral's name for it is "tRNA-Arg". It matches the Rfam family "tRNA". From Rfam's summary of the family: Transfer RNA (tRNA) molecules are approximately 80 nucleotides in length. Their secondary structure includes four short double-helical elements and three loops (D, anti-codon, and T loops). Lineage: Bacteria; Pseudomonadati; Nitrospirota; Nitrospiria; Nitrospirales; Nitrospiraceae. The record is from RNAcentral. RNAcentral also lists the same sequence under 2 other names.